CAGAAUCUGAUGAUGGCGAGGACGAUGAACUGGAUGGGCUUCCACCAAAGAAAAGAAUGUAUGGGAGGAAUAGUGAUGACGGCUCUUCGUUCAGGAUGCUAGCCGACUCCAUUCACAAGUUCAGUGAGAUCUAUGAGAAAAUAGAGAGCAGCAAAAGACAUCAAAUGAUGGAGUUGGAGAAGAUGAGGAUGGAUUUCUUAAGAGAUUUGGAGUUACAGAAAAGGCAGAUAAUGGAGAGAGCCCAAGCAGAGAUCGCGAAACUUAGGCAGGGCGACGAUGAGGAAUACGGUGCCUCCGCCAAGAGUGCCAGUGGAUAAUGUAAUCUUAAUAUACAAUCUUGCACGUUUACUGUUUCUUUGUAUGUUAUUGAUCACUCGUCUGUAUUAUAUGGGAGGGGCCGCCCCCUAUUGAUUUCUAAUCAGUGCAAUAUAUUAGAAGGAACCGUUCCUACUUUUUG
This 457-nucleotide unclassified non-coding RNA is filed under the name Hevea brasiliensis (rubber tree). Lineage: Eukaryota; Viridiplantae; Streptophyta; Magnoliopsida; Malpighiales; Euphorbiaceae. The record is from RNAcentral.